Molecule: long non-coding RNA, 1378 nt
Organism: Megalobrama amblycephala (Wuchang bream)
Lineage: Eukaryota; Metazoa; Chordata; Actinopteri; Cypriniformes; Xenocyprididae
Exons: 3
Source: RefSeq, a predicted model, not a curated record
UAGAGGGUUAAAUGUGCGACCGUUGUGACACGGAUCCAGUCGCUUCAUUUGUAUUGGUUGCCACCUAGAGGUUAGUAUUAAAAAUGCAACAUGUAGGGGACGCCGGGGCUGGUUGUCACUUGGAAAGUGGGUGGUUCUAAACCAACCCGUGACAAAUCCUCAGCCUAAGCCCAAGAUGCAGGCAUGCAGUUCAAGAUCGGGAUUGUGUCUGGGUUAAUGGCAACAAGCAAUGGCAUUGUUCAGUUUUUAGGAGAGAGCCAGUUUGCUCCGGGCCAAUGGGCUGGCAUUGUGCUUGAUGAGCCAAUUGGGAAAAAUGAUGGUACGGAGUCUGGUGUGCGCUAUUUUCAGCGUGAAGCAUUAAAGGGUAUUCUCACACGUUUCUCCAAGCUUUCACUCACUGAAAGUGAGGCAGAUGACACAACAACAUCUCCUCUGUCUCGUGCUGCGUCACCAUCUACCUCUAAUGCAUCAGUAUCGCCUUCCACCAAGAAACCAGUCACACCUACAAAAACAGUUGCACCUGUAAAGAACUACAGGUUACACAGAAAAGAGCUACAGGUUAGCAUUGAAUUGGGCGGUAUGUGAAAAAUCCCACUACUUAUUCUACACCCCACACUUCACGGUAUAACCAACAACAACCUCUUGACUUAUGUGAUGAAAGCUCAACGCGGUACGCCAUCCGUGUCUGGGUUAAUGGCAACAAGCCGAGCAUUGUUCAGUUUGUAGGAGAGAGCCAGUUUCCUCCGGGCCAACGGUCUGGCAUUGUGCUUGAUGAGCCAAUUGGGAAAAAUGAUGGUUCGGUCUCUGGUGUGCGUUAUUUUCAGUGUGAAGCGUUAAAGGGUAUUAUCACACGUCCCUCCAGGCUUUCACGCACUGAAGGUGAAGCAGAUGACACAAUGACAUCUCCUCAGUCUCGUGCUGCGUCACCAUCUACCUCUAAUGCAUCAGUAUCGGCUUCCAGCAAGAAACCAGCCAGACCCACUAAAACAGCUGCAUCUGCCUCAGACCUGGUGCGGUUGAAAAGUGAAUUGGUGUCAAAUCAAAGAAAGGUGAUGGGGAGCUGAAGAUCAAUGAUCGAGUGCUGAUCAGUCAGAGCCAAGCACCUGUGCUGUUCAGCCCUCGUACACACAUACCGGCUUGGAGCCAGACCCACAAAGUCAGGUAACCGCGAGCUGUGACGGAGUGCGUGUGACCUCCACCUCCUGAGCUGGCCCAACACUACGACCCUGGGUUUUGGCAGCAGAGGUCCUGGUGAAACAAACAGAAAUAUGUCUGUCAAUUGCUGAGAUUCAUCGCUCACUUCUAGCUAUAAACGACAUGUUGAAAGAGAUAAAUAAGAACCUGAAAAGUACAUCACAUAAAUGAAAAAUUCACUAAA